This 769-nucleotide ribosomal RNA is filed under the name Serratia sp. (in: enterobacteria). RNAcentral describes it as "bacterial SSU rRNA". It matches the Rfam family "Bacterial small subunit ribosomal RNA", at positions 66 to 841 of the family's 1533-position model. Lineage: Bacteria; Pseudomonadati; Pseudomonadota; Gammaproteobacteria; Enterobacterales; Yersiniaceae. The record is from RNAcentral.
GCUUGCUCUCCUGGGUGACGAGCGGCGGACGGGUGAGUAAUGUCUGGGAAACUGCCUGAUGGAGGGGGAUAACUACUGGAAACGGUAGCUAAUACCGCAUAACGUCGCAAGACCAAAGAGGGGGACCUUCGGGCCUCUUGCCAUCAGAUGUGCCCAGAUGGGAUUAGCUAGUAGGUGGGGUAAUGGCUCACCUAGGCGACGAUCCCUAGCUGGUCUGAGAGGAUGACCAGCCACACUGGAACUGAGACACGGUCCAGACUCCUACGGGAGGCAGCAGUGGGGAAUAUUGCACAAUGGGCGCAAGCCUGAUGCAGCCAUGCCGCGUGUGUGAAGAAGGCCUUCGGGUUGUAAAGCACUUUCAGCGAGGAGGAAGGUGGUGAGCUUAAUACGCUCAUCAAUUGACGUUACUCGCAGAAGAAGCACCGGCUAACUCCGUGCCAGCAGCCGCGGUAAUACGGAGGGUGCAAGCGUUAAUCGGAAUUACUGGGCGUAAAGCGCACGCAGGCGGUUUGUUAAGUCAGAUGUGAAAUCCCCGGGCUCAACCUGGGAACUGCAUUUGAAACUGGCAAGCUAGAGUCUCGUAGAGGGGGGUAGAAUUCCAGGUGUAGCGGUGAAAUGCGUAGAGAUCUGGAGGAAUACCGGUGGCGAAGGCGGCCCCCUGGACGAAGACUGACGCUCAGGUGCGAAGCGUGGGGAGCAACAGGAUUAGAUACCCUGGUAGUCCACGCUGUAAACGAUGUCGAUUUGGAGGUUGUGCCCUUGAGGCGUG